CCUACGGGAGGCAGCAGUGGGGAAUAUUGGGCAAUGGGCGCAAGCCUGACCCAGCAACGCCGCGUGAAGGAAGACGGCUCUCCGGUUGUAAACUUCUUUUAAGAGGGAAGAGCAGAAGACGGUACCUCUUGAAUAAGCCACGGCUAACUACGUGCCAGCAGCUGCGGUCAUACGGAGGUGGCAAGCGUUGUCCGGAUUUACUGGGUGUAAAGGGCGUGCAGCUGGGAAGACAAGUCAGAUGUGAAAUCCCGCGGCUCAACCGCGGAACUGCAUUUGAAACUGUUUUUCUUGAGUACCGGAGAGGUCAGCGGAAUUCGUUGUGUAGCGGUGAAAUGCGUAGAUAUAAGGAAGAACACCAGUGGCGAAGGCAGAUGACUGGACGGCAACUGACGGUGAGGCGCGAAAGCGUGGGGAGCAAACAGGAUUAGAUACCCCUGUAGUC
RNAcentral lists this ribosomal RNA (442 nucleotides) under uncultured bacterium. RNAcentral's name for it is "partial 16S ribosomal RNA". It matches the Rfam family "Bacterial small subunit ribosomal RNA", at positions 338 to 795 of the family's 1533-position model. The record is from RNAcentral.